CUUACUUGUAGUGAAAUCACAGUAACAAAUAGCCAUCUGUAGAAUUUAUUGUCAUUUUUAUAAGCAUUAUACAAUUUUGUAACUGCUUGGUUGCUUUUUUCUAGUGUCAAAGCCAAUGGUGAAACCAGCUCUUCAGAUGAUGAGCUCUUCAGAGAGAAAGAAGGAGAUUGAGCUUAGAGAACUCAUGAUGCCCAAAACAUCUUCCAAGGUGUCUUCUCUUAGUUUUCAGUGUGAGAAUAACCAAAAGAAGCCCCAUACAAUUCAAGCACAGUCGACCCCUGCUGCUCAUAAUGAGGACCGACAGAAAAUCCAGAGCUUAAAGGCUAAAGAAAAGAAGUACCACAAGGUUCUCUGAUUUAUUUAAACACACACACACACACACACACACACACACAUAUGUAUAUAUAUAGAGAGAGAGAGAGAGAGAGAAGAAGAGAGAGCAAGAGAAUAUAUAUAAUGUACUUUUACAUUUCAUUACAUUGGUCGUCUCAUGUUUUCUGUUUUUGGUACCUGCUAUUUCUCUCUUUUUUUUCUUUUUUUGGCAUCUAACCCUAUAAAAACUUUUUUUUCCUGAAGCAUAUUCCUGCAGACAAAGUAGUACAGAUGGUGCAAGCUGACAAAGAACAUGAAGAGGAAACUUUAGGUAUGAUAUGAAGCAUACUAAGGAAAUGCCACUGCUGAUGUGAACAUAUUUGAAUGUUUUUAACUUUAUUUCUUUGUGUAAAAGAUAACAGCAUCGUCCCAGACUCCCAACCUGUGAGAAAGGGAAGCUCGUAGUGAGUGUAUUUCUACUGACAUUUCGGUUACAGUUUCUCAACUGUUUAACAUUACAUCCACUGUAGAGAGGAUUCUGUCUGCUCAGUGCUCACUACAUAAUGUAUGCUUGUUUGUCUUUGUUUUACAUGUAACUGAUCAGUUCACCAGCUCCCUGGAGCUUGAACUCUAGUAAAAGGAGAAUCUCGGUAUCUGGAUCACUGCUGACUUGGCAAAAAGACUGCUAUAAAAAUGGCACUAUAUCAGGUGAGUUAUCGGCAGAGAUAUUCAACUACAAUACAUGACUCUUGAAUACUUAAUUGUGAUUGGUCAAUCACUGCAUUCUGUAGUUUUUUGUAUUAUUAUGACCUCUAUACUAUAAUUGACAGUUUGAACCAAUUUCCUACAUAUCUGUGCUAGUUUCAUGUCUCUUAUGACUGUGCAGUCUCAUUCUCACAUAAUAAAAUAUAAUAAUUUAGCCUCA
This is a long non-coding RNA of Cyprinus carpio (common carp), 1237 nucleotides long. NCBI's taxonomy places the organism in Eukaryota, Metazoa, Chordata, Actinopteri, Cypriniformes, Cyprinidae. The record is from Ensembl.